RNAcentral lists this unclassified non-coding RNA (433 nucleotides) under uncultured Russula. RNAcentral's name for it is "sequence contains ITS2". The stretch from base 1 to 154 matches the Rfam family "5.8S ribosomal RNA". The record is from RNAcentral. Lineage: Eukaryota; Fungi; Basidiomycota; Agaricomycetes; Russulales; Russulaceae.
AACUUUCAGCAAUGGAUCACUUGGCUCUCGCAUCGAUGAAGAACGCAGUGAAAUGCGAUACGUAAUGUGAAUUGCAGAAUUCAGUGAAUCAUCGAAUCUUUGAACGCACCUUGCGCCCCUUGGAAUUCCGAGGGGCACACCCGUUUGAGUGUCGUGAACAUCCUUCAACCUUUCUUGGUUUCUUAACCGGGGAAGGCUUGGACUUUGGGGGUCUUUCAUUGCUGGCCUCUUUGAAGCCAGCUCCGCCUAAAUGGAUUAGUGUGGUCUGCUUUGCCGAUCCUUGACGUGAUAAGAUGUUUCUACGUCUUGGGUUUCGCACUGUCGCUUUAGACCCCGCUUCUAACCGUCUAGCAUUCAAGACAGAGUUUUAACCCUUGACCUCAAAUCGGGUGAGACUACCCGCUGAAUUUAAGCAUAUCAAUACUCGUAGGCU